AACGAACGCUGGCGGCGUGCCUAAUACAUGCAAGUAGAACGCUGAAUGAGGAGCUUGCUCUUCUGGGUGAGUUGCGGACGGGUGAGUAACGCUUAGGUAACCUGCCUGGUAGCGGGGGAGAACUAUUUGAAACGAUAUCUAAUAGCGCAUAACAGUAGAUGUUUCAUGACAUUUACGUAAAAGGUUCAAUUGCUUCUAUACCAGAUGGACCUGCGUUGUAUUAGCUAGUUGGUGGGUUAACGGCUCACCAAGGCGACUAGACAUAACAGACCUGCGAGGGUGCGCUGCAACGCUGGGAUGGAGACACGGCCAAGAACACUAGGGGAGGGAGACGUCGGGAACUCUUGGCAAUGGACGGAAGUGUGACUGAGCAACGACGCGUGAGUGACGAAGGUUUUCGGGCCGUAUAGCUCUGUUGUAAGAGAAGAUUGAGUGUGAGAGUGGCCAGUUCACAUUGUGACGGUACCUUAACAGAAAGCGACGGCUAACUCCGUG
RNAcentral lists this ribosomal RNA (495 nucleotides) under uncultured bacterium. Its description in RNAcentral is "partial 16S ribosomal RNA". It matches the Rfam family "Bacterial small subunit ribosomal RNA", at positions 29 to 507 of the family's 1533-position model. The record is from RNAcentral.